GCAUUACCGAGAUAGCUCUGUCGUUGGAAGAGCACGAGACUCUUAAUCUCAGGGUUGUGGGUUUGAGCACCAUGUGGGGCA
Molecule: non-coding RNA, 81 nt
Organism: Podarcis lilfordi (Lilford's wall lizard)
Lineage: Eukaryota; Metazoa; Chordata; Lepidosauria; Squamata; Lacertidae
Source: the annotation of a GenBank genome assembly